Molecule: unclassified non-coding RNA, 115 nt
Organism: Prolemur simus (greater bamboo lemur)
Lineage: Eukaryota; Metazoa; Chordata; Mammalia; Primates; Lemuridae
Rfam family: Y RNA
About the family: Y RNAs are components of the Ro ribonucleoprotein particle (Ro RNP), in association with Ro60 and La proteins. The Y RNAs and Ro60 and La proteins are well conserved, but the function of the Ro RNP is not known.
Source: Ensembl
GGCUAGUCCAAAGGUAGUGAAUUACCCCACUUGAUCGUUCACAGUCAGUUACAGAUUGAAUUCCUUGCUCUACUACCUCCCCCUCCCCUUCACUACUGCACUUGACUAGUCUAAA